GGGCCUAUAGUCUAGUGGUUAUGACGUUUGCUUCACAGGCAAAAGGUCGCCGGUUCAAAUCCGGCUGGGCCCA
RNAcentral lists this transfer RNA (73 nucleotides) under Candidatus Woesearchaeota archaeon. RNAcentral describes it as "tRNA-Val". It matches the Rfam family "tRNA". From Rfam's summary of the family: Transfer RNA (tRNA) molecules are approximately 80 nucleotides in length. Their secondary structure includes four short double-helical elements and three loops (D, anti-codon, and T loops). Lineage: Archaea; Nanobdellati; Candidatus Woesearchaeota. The record is from RNAcentral.